GCCGGGCGGCUCCAUCCCGGGGCAGGGCUUGCCGGGGGGCCGGGGACCACACGGGGCUGCGCCCUGCCUCUCGCCUCUUGCCGUGGGAAACGUUUUGUUUCCGCUCACCGGAGGCCCCGUGUUUCCCUUGCUGGUCUGUGGGUUGGAUGUUGAACUAGUCCAGCCCUUCCCUCGGGGUCACUCCCGCUCUUCCCAGGCCCCAUGCUCCCCACCCACCAGUUCGGUUCAAAGCACUUCGCACAGCUCCCUCGAAAAUACGUUGUGAUGCCAGUGCUGCCACAGUGCACACGCGUGAGAUGACCUCAGCAUCUGCCUCUCCCUUAGGACGGAGCUCUCCGGAGCGUUGGAGUUUUAAUCGCCUUCCGUCAUUUGCUAUAAUUUCCGAGUUUUGCUUUGGUGGUGGCUUAAUAGACACCACAGUUUGUGUUUCCUGAAACCCAAACCUUGCUACCAGCUCCAAGAACAGGGUUGGGACUUCUAAAACAAUACAGAAAUGAGCAGGGAUCCUAGAAAUCUGUUUUCAACGGAAAAAUGCAGAAAAAUGCAGAAUUUGUUUUUUUACAGAUCCCAGCCAUCCUUGCUAUCAACGGCCAAAAGGCUGCAAAGAAUCAGGAAGCAUCCAUGAAGAACCAAAGAGGACCUGCUUCAUGAAGUCACGCAGCAGUCUCUUACU
Long non-coding RNA from Chrysemys picta bellii (western painted turtle), 673 nucleotides. RefSeq lists it as uncharacterized. Lineage: Eukaryota; Metazoa; Chordata; Testudines; Emydidae. The record is from RefSeq and is a predicted model, not a curated record.